This is a non-coding RNA of Calypte anna (Anna's hummingbird), 873 nucleotides long. The record is from the annotation of a RefSeq genome assembly. Lineage: Eukaryota; Metazoa; Chordata; Aves; Apodiformes; Trochilidae.
AUGGUUCCCCUCUGGUUCUUGAUGGCCAUGCUGGCCCCUGUGGCAUGGACUCUGGAACAGCCCCCAGACACAGUGGUACGACAAGACCAGUCUGUAAGUUUGAGCUGUUCCCAGAGGAAAUCCUCCAGCACAGCUAUGUACUGGUACAAGAUGCCAUUGGGGAAGGACUCCAGGAUGAUCCUAGUGGCUUCUGCAAUAGUAAGUAGUAAAGCAGAUAUUGAGGAGGACUUCCGAAGCCAUUUCAAGAGCAAUGGGAUACAAGGUGACAAAAUGACCCUCUUGAUAGAUCAUGCCUUUCUCAAUGACUCUGGCACGUAUUACUGUGCUGAAAGUGAAGUAAUUGGGAGAGACAAACUGCACUUUGGCAGUGGGACAAAACUCACAGUUCUAGGGAAGGACGAGGAAAUCAUACCUCCAGCUGUGGCUAUUUUUUCCCCAUCAAAGCAAGAGAUCCAACAGAAGAGCAAGGCCACACUGGUGUGCCUGGCCUCUGCUUUCUACCCCGACCACCUGAAUCUGGUUUGGAAGGUGAAUGGUGCUCUGAGGACAGAAGGGGUGGGGACAGAUGAGUUUUCCACAUGGGAUGGGAGUACCUACUCCUUGACAAGCCGACUGAGGAUCUCAGCCCAGGAAUGGUUCAACCCUCUGAACCGUUUUGAGUGCUCUGCCGAUUUUUUUAAGAAUGAAACUCUGGAAUCGAUACACAAAUUCAUCUACGGUGAUGUUGGAUGUGCACUCACAGAAGAGUCCUACUUGUGGUCUGGAAAUUCUCUGAAGCUGACUUACCUCAUUCUCUGCGGCAAAGCUUUGCUCUAUGCAGUUUUGGUGAGCAGCAUGAUGUGGAAAGCCAAGGAGAAGACACGAGGGAUCUAG